GGGUAACUGAUUUGCUUAUUGCACCACAUGUGUUUUUUAUUGAACAAAUUUCUUUGGUGGCGGGAGCAAUCCUACCGCCAGAGGUUAUAACUAAACCAAACUUUUUAUUUACAGUCAAACUUGAUUUAUUAUUACAAUAGUCAAAACUUUCAACAACGGAUCUCUUGGUUCUCGCAUCGAUGAAGAACGCAGCGAAAUGCGAUACGUAAUAUGAAUUGCAGAUAUUCGUGAAUCAUCGAAUCUUUGAACGCACAUUGCGCCCUUUGGUAUUCCAAAGGGCAUGCCUGUUUGAGCGUCAUUUCUCCCUCAAACCCCCGGGUUUGGUGUUGAGCAAUACGCUAGGUUUGUUUGAAAGAAUUUAACGGGAAAACUUAUUUUAACCAACUUAGGUUUAUCCAAAAACCCUUAUUUUGCUAGGGGCCACCACAAUUUAUUUCAUAACUUUGACCUCAAAUCAGGAAGAACUACCCGCUAAACUUAACCAUAUCAUAACCCGGAGAAA
This 502-nucleotide ribosomal RNA is filed under the name Candida tropicalis. Its description in RNAcentral is "eukaryotic LSU rRNA". The stretch from base 145 to 298 matches the Rfam family "5.8S ribosomal RNA". The record is from RNAcentral. Lineage: Eukaryota; Fungi; Ascomycota; Pichiomycetes; Serinales; Debaryomycetaceae.